Molecule: ribosomal RNA, 444 nt
Filed under: Cellulomonas sp. P5
Lineage: Bacteria; Bacillati; Actinomycetota; Actinomycetes; Micrococcales; Cellulomonadaceae
Description: bacterial SSU rRNA
Rfam family: Bacterial small subunit ribosomal RNA
Source: RNAcentral
GGAAUUCGAUUACCGCGAAGAACCUUACCAAGGCUUGACAUACACCGGAAACUUCCAGAGAUGGUUGCCCCGCAAGGUCGGUGUACAGGUGGUGCAUGGUUGUCGUCAGCUCGUGUCGUGAGAUGUUGGGUUAAGUCCCGCAACGAGCGCAACCCUCGUCCUAUGUUGCCAGCGGGUCAUGCCGGGGACUCAUAGGAGACUGCCGGGGUCAACUCGGAGGAAGGUGGGGAUGACGUCAAAUCAUCAUGCCCCUUAUGUCUUGGGCUUCACGCAUGCUACAAUGGCCGGUACAAAGGGCUGCGAUACCGCGAGGUGGAGCGAAUCCCAAAAAGCCGGUCUCAGUUCGGAUUGGGGUCUGCAACUCGACCCCAUGAAGUCGGAGUCGCUAGUAAUCGCAGAUCAGCAACGCUGCGGUGAAUACGUUCCCGGGCCUUGUACACACCG